RNAcentral lists this long non-coding RNA (235 nucleotides) under Monodelphis domestica (gray short-tailed opossum). RNAcentral's name for it is "lncRNA (ENSMODG00000033617.2)". The record is from RNAcentral. Lineage: Eukaryota; Metazoa; Chordata; Mammalia; Didelphimorphia; Didelphidae.
AGGAGUAUGUUGCCAUUCCAACAUUCAAGAACCCAGAUCUGUGGCCAGCUAGCAAGGAUCAAAGAAAGACCUUAAGAAGUAAUCUUCAGGACCUCGCCAGGUAGCAGGGCUUUGCUCACCCAGCAUGUCAAGACUGCUUUGGCGGAACAGGCGGAAGAAACCAACAAGAAGGUUCAACGGCUGAGAUGGCGACGCAGCAAAGCACAGUGGAGUGCUUAGGGUGUGUUGGAGCACA